Molecule: long non-coding RNA, 1632 nt
Filed under: Anas platyrhynchos platyrhynchos (common mallard)
Lineage: Eukaryota; Metazoa; Chordata; Aves; Anseriformes; Anatidae
Description: lncRNA (ENSAPLG00000021894.1)
Source: RNAcentral
UGGGACAUCGCUGCCUCCACAGACAGGGAGAAGAUCCGCGCUGUGGGAGGCAAGGACGGCUGCUCGGGCAGAGUGGAGAUCUGGCACCGCGGCACCUGGGGGACGCUGUGUGACAAUGCCUGGGACAUGCGGGAUGCCGAGGUGGCGUGCAGGCAGCUGGGCUGUGGCCCCGCGCUCUAUGCCCUGGGCCAGGCUGCUGCUGGAGAGGGGACAGGCCCCAUGUGGCUGAUGGAGUGCAGGGGGACGGAGCUGUCUCUGCAGGACUGCUGGGAUCAGCCAGGGGACAGCGGUGCCUGCCAGCAUAAGGCAGAUGCGGCUGUGCAUUGCUCAGCUGCACUCAAGAUAGCAACUCCCCCACCACAAGCUGGUAAGCUGUCCUUCCCCUGGGGCUGGGUCUGUCCAUGUUCACGCUGUGACACACAGCCAGGGGAAGGGGCUCCUUGUUGGGCUGUGAGACUCCCAGGAAAUCAAGGGAGCUGGGGGAAGUCUGUGAUGGACCCAGCAGGGUGGGAGCUGCCCCAUCACCCAGCCCUGUCCCCCCCUCCAGCCCCUGCUGCCUUGUGUGGUCAGGAGUGCCGUGUCCCACCCCCAACCUCUCCCUUGUCUGAUGCUGCCCCUGCCAUGUUCCUGCCCUUGCAGAUCCCCCACGGGGCCGUCCAACCACCAGCAGUGAGAGACUCUCGGUGCCUGUCGUCAUCUGCAUCAUCCUGGGGGCCCUCCUCUGCCUGCUCCUGGCCCUCCUGGCUGGGCAGGUGCGAAGCGCCAGGGCUCGGCGCAGAGGUGGGUCUUUCCCCAGUGGUCCUGGGGGGGGGGGAGAUGCCUCCUGGCAGGGCUAGGUGUGUUGAUGUCCUGGGGCACAGAAACAGAGCCGUGUGCUGCCUCCUGCCCCAUGUGCUGCCCCACUGACUGACAGACCAUGGGGCACCAACAUCAAGGGGUAGAGAGAGCCCAGAGCCUGAGGCAUCAGUUCUGGGGUGAGAAGAGAAAUGUGAGAGCUGGGCUGGGUGAGACGGGGAGGAUGCACUGCUGGCAGUGCUCUGGGCAGCUCUGGCAGGAGGAGCAUAGGGCAGUGGAGUCCAUCACUGUGGUGUCAGCCACCCCGCAACAGGGUACAGGCUGUGUUAUUGCUCUGUGGGGCAGAGAUGGAGCAGCUCCAUGGGGAGGGGAAAUGAGGGAAUUAGUGCAGGGUCUGCACUAGGACAUGAACCGGGGACCAAAGGGGCACAAGGGCUGUCUCCAAAUGCGAGACUGACUCUGCCCCAGACCAUCUCCAUGGGAAUGCUGCCCUCCCUGGGGAUGUGGCCUCAGUGCCAACACAACACAGAGGGGCUGUGCUGUGGGGACAGCCCUGUGCUGGCCUAGGGAAUGGGGCUGGGGGAGCCCAUUGGGGUCCUGUCCCUCUCUGCCCAUCACCAGACCAGCCCUGCCUCUGUCCCCAGGCUCCGGGAGAGCUGGGGAGCCCUUCUCUGAGGCCGUGUAUGAGGAGAUCGCUUACAGCCUGGCGUGGGAGAAGCAGGCGAGGUUCAGUCUCUCAGGUGGGUUUAUGUUCCUGAAGGGGCACUUUCUCUCUGCCUCAGAUCAGGGCUGUGCCCUGCAGCUCCUGCCCAUGGUCCCUGAAAUGGUUGGGCCAUG